RNAcentral lists this long non-coding RNA (478 nucleotides) under Oryctolagus cuniculus (rabbit). Its description in RNAcentral is "lncRNA (ENSOCUG00000030176.1)". Lineage: Eukaryota; Metazoa; Chordata; Mammalia; Lagomorpha; Leporidae. The record is from RNAcentral.
AACUCACUGAUGAACAUCCUCGCUCCAUCCAAGGUCCAGCAGCAUCCCCGCCUAAACCAUUGACCACUGACAAGACAAAAUGUUAGGUAAGAGAAGCUGCAUAUCAAGACCAUUCCUUUUGUAGCAGCAUCCAGGCUCUGCUCUAGAACAUGAGCUUCACACAAUUUCUGCAGCCCAUGUUAUGUCCUGUUUAGCUAGUAAGCUUAUUUUCACUGAGCGCCCAGGAAUCCAGAAGCAGCCAUCAUCUGGUCCUUUCAUCGCCCCCUGGGAUGUCAGACCACCUUGGCCUGCCCUUGGCAAGAAUCCCUCAAUCAAGACAGUGCUGAGUUCCUUCCCAGGGCUGAAGUGUGGAGAAGCAACAGCCACAGACUUGGAACUGGUGGGAGAGAUUGAGCAGGGGCAAUAUAUAGGAACAGAUGGGCCAGAAGUGCCACAUAAAGCUGGGAUAUUCAGAUUCCUUGGGGAGGACAGGAGAUAG